GUACACGCUGUGACUAGCAUAUCAAUAAGCGGAGGAAAAGAAACUAACAAGGAUUCCCCUAGUAACGGCGAGUGAAGCGGGAAGAGCUCAAAUUUGAAAUCUUAAAGGGUUUCCCUUUACGAAUUGUAGUUUAAAGAAGUGUUUUCUGUUGAGGUUUUGGUAAAAGUUCUUUGGAAUAGGACAUCAUAGAGGGUGAGAAUCCCGUAUUUGACCUUUACUUUCAACUUUGUGAUACACUUUAAAGAGUCGGAUUGUUUGGGAAUGCAGUCCAAAAUGGGUGGUAAAUUUCAUCUAAAGCUAAAUAUUGGCGAGAGACCGAUAGCGAACAAGUACCGUGAGGGAAAGAUGAAAAGAACUUUGAAAAGAGAGUUAAACAGUACGUGAAAUUGUCAAAAGGGAAGCGUUUGACACCAGUGUUGUUUUUCUGAAAAUCAAUUAAAGAACUGUUUAUGCUAAGUUGUUUAGACUUUAUCAGCUAACUGUUUAGUUUUGAGCUUUUCUUUAAUGCACUUUUCAGUUAACAAGUCAACAUCAAUUUCUUUUGCUGUAAAAAAGCUUGAGGAAGGUGGCUUGAGAUUCGUCUUAAGUGUUUAUAGCCUCUUGCCUAUGCAGUCGGAGAGAUUGAGGUCUGCAGCGUAGAUCCUUCGGGGCUAAAUGCAUUUGUGCUAAGUUAUAGCAUUUUAUAGACAACUUGUUGACUAUGAUUUGUCUUGUAGCUUACUCGCUUAUGUUAUUUUACCUACGCUUAGGAUGUUGAAGAUGUAGCACAUCAU
Molecule: ribosomal RNA, 773 nt
Filed under: uncultured Neocallimastigales
Lineage: Eukaryota; Fungi; Neocallimastigomycota; Neocallimastigomycetes; Neocallimastigales
Description: partial large subunit ribosomal RNA
Rfam family: Eukaryotic large subunit ribosomal RNA
Source: RNAcentral